This is a non-coding RNA of Heterocephalus glaber (naked mole-rat), 618 nucleotides long. NCBI's taxonomy places the organism in Eukaryota, Metazoa, Chordata, Mammalia, Rodentia, Bathyergidae. The record is from RefSeq and is a predicted model, not a curated record.
ACCCCUUUUGACCAGUACCUGAAGGUAGCUAUAAAGGGGCUGAGUAAAUCAAUUAACUCUGUGGUUUUCAUGGAGAUCUCUUGAUAUCAAAAUUUCUUUUUUUAAACACAUGUCUCCUCUGAUCCUAUGGAGAUGAAAAUUGACAUCCAUAGCCACAUUCUACCAAAAGAAUGGCCAGAUCUAGAAAAGGGAGAGGAAAGUUUUGCAUCAGUAUUAGCCCAUGCCACAUCACCCCCCAUUACCUGCCUCCCAUCCUGAAGAUUGCCUGUUUUUCAGCAGAGAACUGGCCACCUACAGCUGACAAUUUCUAGGUGCUCCACUUCAUGCAGGGCCCUAAAGGAAUUGUUCAAACUACUUGGAAAAUUGAGUGAUAAAGAAAAUUAGAGCACAUAGAUGUGUGCCCUGGAAAACUCCCAGGCAUUUGUCUUGCUGCCACUUUAUACUGCCUGCCCCUCCUAUCAAGCAAAGUUUAUUGUCUUGAAAGAUGAAGCAGUAUUUUAUUGCAAUAAUCAGGUUUUUCCUACCCAGCAGUCUCACAUGCUGCAAGCAGAUAGAUGAUACAUUUUACAAUGAUACUAGUCACAGUAUUUUGUAGUUCUAGGGAUAUAUACUCCACAA